This 468-nucleotide ribosomal RNA is filed under the name uncultured bacterium. RNAcentral's name for it is "partial 16S ribosomal RNA". It matches the Rfam family "Bacterial small subunit ribosomal RNA", at positions 28 to 507 of the family's 1533-position model. The record is from RNAcentral.
GACGAACGCUGGCGGCGUGCUUAACACAUGCAAGUCGAACGGAAAGGCCCUGCUGUUUUGGGGUGCUCGAGUGGCGAACGGGAGAGUAACAUGUGAGUACCUUCCCCUUGGCUUUGGGAUAACUUCAUGGAACUGGUGCUGAUUCCGGAUAGGCGCUCCUUCUGCAUGGUUGGGGUUGGAAUGCUUCGGCGGUUGGGGAUGCGCUCGCGGCUUUUCAGCUUGUUGGUGUGGUAUUGGCUUACCAAGGCUUUGACGGGUAGCCGGCCUGAGAGGGUGACCGGCCACAUUGGGACUGAGAUACGGCCCAGACUCCUACGGGAGGCAGCAGUGGGGAAUAUUGCACAAUGGGCGGAAGCCUGAUGCAGCAACGCCGCGUGAGGGAUGACGGCCUUCGGGUUGUAAACCGCUUUCGCCAGUGACGAAGCGUGAGUGACGGUAAUGGGUAAAGAAGCACCGGCUAACUACGUG